RNAcentral lists this ribosomal RNA (249 nucleotides) under uncultured Actinomycetales bacterium. RNAcentral describes it as "partial 16S ribosomal RNA". It matches the Rfam family "Bacterial small subunit ribosomal RNA", at positions 84 to 334 of the family's 1533-position model. The record is from RNAcentral. Lineage: Bacteria; Bacillati; Actinomycetota; Actinomycetes; Actinomycetales.
GGGGUGCUCGAGUGGCGAACGGGCGAGUAACACGUGAGUAACCUGCCCUUGACUUUGGGAUAACUUCAGGAAACUGGGGCUAAUACCGGAUAGGAGCUCCUGCUGCAUGGUGGGGGUUGGAAAGUUUCGGCGGUUGGGGAUGGACUCGCGGCUUAUCAGCUUGUUGGUGGGGUAGUGGCUUACCAAGGCUUUGACGGGUAGCCGGCCUGAGAGGGUGACCGGCCACAUUGGGACUGAGAUACGGCCCAG